CGCGAAUUCGCCCUUAGAGUUUGAUCCUGGCUCAGAACNNNUNNUGGCGGCGUGGAUUAGGCAUGCAAGUCGAACGAGAACUUANAGAGUGGAGGCUUCGGCCAAAGCACUCUAAGAGAGAGUGGCGAAAGGGUGAGUAACACGUGGGUAAUUUGCCUCUAGGCGGGGGACAACAUUCCGAAAGGAGUGCUAAUACCGCAUAAGACCACAGUAUCUCCGGAUACCGAGGUCAAAGGUGGCCUCUAUUUAUAAGCUAUCACCUAGAGAUGAGCCCGCGCCUUAUCAGCUUGUUGGUAGGGUAAUGGCCUACCAAGGCUUUGACGAGUAGCUGGUCUGAGAGGAUGGUCAGCCACAUCGGGACUGAGACACUGCCCGGACUCCUACGGGAGGCUGCAGUCGAGAAUCUUUCGCAAUGGGGGAAACCCUGACGAAGCGACGCCGCGUGCAGGAUGACGGCCCUCGGGUUGUAAACUGCUGUCGCCUGGGAAGAAACAUAUGGAAGCUAACAUCUUCCAUAAUUGACGGUACCAGGAAAGGAAGCAACGGCUAACUCUGUGCCAGCAGCCGCGGUAAUACAGAGGUUGCUAGCGUUGUUCGGAUUUAUUGGGUGUAAAGGGUGUGUAGGCGGUUCGGUAAGUCAGAUGUGAAAGCCCAGGGCUCAACCCUGGAACUGCAUUUGAUACUGCCAAACUAGAGUACGUUAGAGG
This 707-nucleotide ribosomal RNA is filed under the name uncultured bacterium. Its description in RNAcentral is "bacterial SSU rRNA". It matches the Rfam family "Bacterial small subunit ribosomal RNA", at positions 1 to 657 of the family's 1533-position model. The record is from RNAcentral.